Heterocephalus glaber (naked mole-rat) is the source of this 3288-nucleotide non-coding RNA. NCBI's taxonomy places the organism in Eukaryota, Metazoa, Chordata, Mammalia, Rodentia, Bathyergidae. The record is from RefSeq and is a predicted model, not a curated record.
GCGCCAUAGGCCUGGUAUAGAUUCUUCCGAUGUGAUGCUGUCUAGUUUUCCACAGAAAAUUAAAAGCGGAGUACCAGAGGAACUUGGGAAACUAUAAAAAAGCAUUUGUAUUCUGGUUACAUAUGUAAAACUUGAGAUUUGCCGUUUACACCAUUUUUGACUUAAACUCAGUGGGUUAUUGAUAUUCACAGUGCUGUGCAGCCAUCAGCGCUGUCCAGUUCCAAAACCUCGUCUUCGCCCCACAGCAGCCCUGUCCCCAUGAAGCAGUCACUGCUCGCUCCCCUGCUGCCAGCUCCAGUCCGAUUUCCCCUGCUGUGGACUUCCUGUUCCGGGUGUUCCACAAAGGUGGGGCCGCGCCGUGUUCGUGUGUGGGGAUCGCUGCUUCCGCCUGUCUGUUUCCCAGGUCAUCCGUGUUGCAGCAGGGAUCUGAGCCUGCUUCCUUCCUGGGGCUGGAUGAUCCAUGUAGUGGAUCCACUCCCAUCGGGGCUUGGGCGGCUUUCCCUUUAUUGGCCGCUGUGAAUCCUGCUGCGGUUGAAUGCCUCCCUCUCUGCACAUCCUGAGAAAGAUGAGUUAAUCCUUUUCGGAGGUGAAUAUUUCAAUGGCCAAAAAACUUUUCUAUGUGACGAGUGCUCCCUCUGCACUAUGAGAAAGGACACCUGGACAGAAGGUGACAUCUCUGGCCCAUGGUGGAGGUGCUGUGCUCACCAGUUGCAACCCCUGUCUGAAGUUUGUAAUGACUGUGACCUCUCAGAAUAUCAUCACCUCCUGGGCUCCAGGUUGGCUGAAGGCCACUCACACUGCUCAGGUCUGAGGAUGAAGGUGACCUCAUCAGUGUCCCCUGACUGUGUUCCCGUCAGCUGCAGAAAUGAGGAGGCAAGUUCAGUAAGAUUUACAAGCUCAUCAUUUCGACGAUCAUGAUGUCCUCCAAUCCCUCUGGUAGUCCUUCCAGUUCUACUAGUUUCUCCCUCAUAAAGGUAAAGGUAAAUUAAAUACUAUGUUCGUAUUGAAAACAUAGGUGUGUGACUAUGUGACCAAAAUCCUAAUUAUCUGAUGCUCAAAUGGUGGAGAAGCAGUAAGUUUCAUUUCACUAAAACGAACACAAACUAAUACCUAUGCUGUGCCUGUCUUGCCGCCCGCUCCAUCCACAUCAGGUAGAAAAGCUCUCCUGGGCUCCAGAGCUUGGGUCUGCAGUAGCUCAGCUCAGGCAGUGCGUUUGUGGCCCUGUGCUUAAAGCGCUGUGCCGGUUACACGGAGGACACAGAGGCGUCCACGGCAGCUCUUACUGAGAGGAACUUUGCGUCACCAAGGGUCACUAAAAACUGUCAUUACCUUAGGUGAUGACAUCCGUCACAGACACUGCUGAGCCUACCCUGGAGAAGGAAGAGGACAGUGACGGGGCACAGCCCUGGGCUCUCUGUCUCCUGAAGAUUUAGGAUGAAAGGACCCUGGGGAAUCUCUCCACAGUGUCUCACAGGGGAGGGCUCACACACACUUGGCACGGGUCGCAUCUGUGGUUUCCUUUCACUGGCGAUGUUUACAUAAUAACUGAAACAGGAGAAGCCACGCAGACAUGGGACACAGAGCCUGAGCACUGUGAGGUUGGGUACUGAAUCUCCUGCAAUGUCAAUAUCUUGAUCAGGAAGGGAAGUAGGCAGAAUUCAGUGCAGGACAGGGGUCAUGGUCCUGUAGUAUUCAAGGUUUUUAAACUUUUAAUCAGGUUGACCCUUGCAGAAAGCUCCUGUGGUGCUAGAAUAAAAUUGUUCAAUGGCCCCUGUGUAUUGUACUGUUUAGUGAGGCUAAAACUACAGCAACAAAAAGCCACCCAUCAGAGAGAAGGAGCUUGAGUUAGCUCCUUAUAUGAAAUUUAAUGUAGGUGUUAUGAAAAGCCAACAGUUAUGUCAGGGAGAGAAAGGAAGCCAACAUAAAAAUGGAAUGCAGCAAGGAUGAUAUUGACAAAGGACAUAAACAGUUUUCAGCUUUUGUAAUCGAUCCACUUGGUGUUACAUACUGGUCUGUGUUCUGUACAUUUCAGUGAUUUAGAAAUAAUGGGUGAACAGAAGAACAUCAUGAUAGGGUUAUAUUCUUACAUUUCCAUGGGUUUGCAGUUUUCACUUCAGUAAGAAACAUAAUGAUAAAGAAAUGGUGAGAUGACUCCAGCCCUGUGGAAGAUAUAAUCUGCGGGAAAACAAUUUGUGUUUUGAUGAUGUUGUCUGUACAGAAGAAUGAACGCUGGGAAAUAUGCUCAGGGUUUUUGGGAAAGGGUGCACAUCAGGGUGCCUUUGCAAAGAGACCAGGGGCCUUGUUUAUCAGCACAGCCCGGGCAGCUGGAAGGCAGGGGCUCCUUGGCGCUCCGUGACAUCUCCACCUUCCAAUUCUAUGCUGCAACUGUCGGCCACUGCCAGGCACACUGGGCCAUGACUGCCUUACGCGUGUCUGAGUCUGAGCCGCAGGCAGUACCUUCUGCUCUGAACUCGGAUUCUGCACACCUGUUUUCACUGUGAAAUUCUCAAGUGUGUUGGGUGUCGGUCACCUUGUUCUCAGCCGUGAGUUCAUCCGUGUACUCACUGUCCUCCCUCAGUCCUGAUCCAACUUGUUUGAUUUCCUUUGAUUUGAAGCCACCUUGUGUUUGGGUUUCUUCUCCACGAGGCUCAGUUCUGCCCCCUCUGCCGCAGAGGCCGUAAGCAUGACAGUAACUCCCAGCCCCUCCUGUCAUCGAGGGGCUAAAAUGACCUACUUUGACAUCAACCCGGAGUUGAACUUCCAGCUGGAAGAGAGCCAACAGCAACUGCGAGACAAGCGAACCAAACUUCCGUAUAACUGAAGCUACUCUCUGUGUCCUGGCCACCGAGCUGCGGAAACACAGAUGAGCACAGGAGGAGUGGAGAAGCGGAAGAACAAGUGCCUCAGAGCUCGCAAGAUGAGGACCAUGAGACACCGUCCAGUCCCGGUGAGCCGAGUGACCUCCAGCAGCCUCCCUGCAGGCCGGCUUUCCUGUGGAUGAGGUCUCCCCUUCUCCAGAUACAGCUUGUACCUGGAGGACGGAGACGAUGUCAGCGAUUCACUGGUGUACACUUUAGAUGAAAGGUAUUUGGCAUUUUCCACCUGCCAGGACUUAUCAGCGUCCACCAAGCCUGCCAAGAGUCCAGGCUUCCCAGCACAUCAGAAUCCGUGUGAGGAUGAGGAUCCACGGGAGCAAGAGGCCCCCAGGACAUGGUGUGUCAUAAUCCACAACAAUGCCCAGAAGCUGAUCCGACUCUGUGACCCGCUACAGAAAGGGAAGGAUGCUGC